RNAcentral lists this small nuclear RNA (21 nucleotides) under Arabidopsis thaliana (thale cress). RNAcentral describes it as "snRNA_05366". Lineage: Eukaryota; Viridiplantae; Streptophyta; Magnoliopsida; Brassicales; Brassicaceae. The record is from RNAcentral.
AUCCAUUUAUGGAGAAAUCCA